AUUGAACGCUGGCGGCAGGCCUAACACAUGCAAGUCGAGCGGAUGAAGGGAGCUUGCUCCUGGAUUCAGCGGCGGACGGGUGAGUAAUGCCUAGGAAUCUGCCUGGUAGUGGGGGAUAACGUCCGGAAACGGGCGCUAAUACCGCAUACGUCCUGAGGGAGAAAGUGGGGGAUCUUCGGACCUCACGCUAUCAGAUGAGCCUAGGUCGGAUUAGCUAGUUGGUGGGGUAAAGGCCUACCAAGGCGACGAUCCGUAACUGGUCUGAGAGGAUGAUCAGACACACUGGAACUGAGACACGGUCCAGACUCCUACGGGAGGCAGCAGUGGGGAAUAUUGGACAAUGGGCGAAAGCCUGAUCCAGCCAUGCCGCGUGUGUGAAGAAGGUCUUCGGAUUGUAAAGCACUUUUAUUUGGGAGGAAGGGCAGUAAGUUAAUACCUUGCUGUUUUGACGUUACCAACAGAAUAAGCACCGGCUAACUUCGUG
Molecule: ribosomal RNA, 484 nt
Filed under: uncultured bacterium
Lineage: Bacteria
Description: partial 16S ribosomal RNA
Rfam family: Bacterial small subunit ribosomal RNA
Source: RNAcentral